This 332-nucleotide ribosomal RNA is filed under the name uncultured bacterium. RNAcentral describes it as "bacterial SSU rRNA". It matches the Rfam family "Bacterial small subunit ribosomal RNA", at positions 568 to 898 of the family's 1533-position model. The record is from RNAcentral.
CGCGUAGGCGGUUGGGUAAGUCGGAUGUGAAAGCCCCCUGGCUCAACUGGGGGAGGUCAUUCGAUACUGCCCGGCUUGAGGGUGAGAGAGGGAAGUGGAAUUCCCGGUGUAGCGGUGGAAUGCGUAGAGAUCGGGAGGAACACCAGUGGCGAAAGCGGCUUCCUGGCUCACCCCUGACGCUGAGAGCGCGAAAGCGUGGGGAGCAAACGGGAUUAGAUACCCCGGUAGUCCACGCCUUAAACGAUGAGGGCUAGGUGUUGGUGGGAUUUCCCAUCUGUGCCGAAGCAAACGCGUUAAGCCCUCCGCCUGGGGACUACGAACGCAAGGCUGAA